Molecule: ribosomal RNA, 164 nt
Filed under: Strychnos cuniculina
Lineage: Eukaryota; Viridiplantae; Streptophyta; Magnoliopsida; Gentianales; Loganiaceae
Also listed under: 4 other names
Description: 5.8S ribosomal RNA
Rfam family: 5.8S ribosomal RNA
About the family: 5.8S ribosomal RNA (5.8S rRNA) is a component of the large subunit of the eukaryotic ribosome.
Source: RNAcentral
AAAACAACUCUCGGCAACGGAUAUCUCGGCUCUCGCAUCGAUGAAGAACGUAGCAAACUGCGAUACUUGGUGUGAAUUGCAGAAUCCCGUGAACCAUCGAGUCUUUGAACGCAAGUUGCGCCCGAAGCCAUUAGGCCGAGGGCACGUCUGCCUGGGCGUCACGC